AAUUAAGUUACUUAAGGGCGUACGGUGGAUGCCUUGGCUCUCAGAGGCUAUGAAGGACGUGAUAGGCUGCGAUAAGCUGCGGGAAAUUGUCUAUAAAUAUUAUAUCCGCAGAUUUCCGAAUGGGGCAACCCAUCCAAUUUAUUGGAUUUAAGCUAACCCGCUGAACUGAAACAUCUAAGUAAGCGGAGGAAGAGAAAACAAGAGUGAUUUCCAGAGUAGUGGCGAGCGAAAUGGAAUUAGCCCAAACCUAAGCGUGUAGCAAUGCCGUUUAGGGGUUGUAGGACCAUCAAAAUAUAUGAUGUGUAGAUAGUAGAAUGGCUUGGGAAAGCCAACCAUAGAGGGUGACAGUCCCGUAUACGAAAUCAGAUCAUCGUAAGAUGGCACCUGAGUAGGGCGGAGCCGGUGAAACUCUGUCUGAAUCUGCCAGCACCAUCUGGUAAGGCUAAAUACUCCUGAGAGACCGAUAGCGAACAAGUACCGUGAGGGAAAGGUGAAAAGUAUCUCGAACAGAGAGGUGAAAAGAACCUGAAACCGUACGUUUACAAGCGGUCGAAGCCUUCGGGCGACGGCGUGCCUUUUGCAUAAUGAGCCUACGAGUUGCUCUUCCCUGGCAAGGUUAAGUACUUCUGGUACGAAGCCGUAGCGAAAGCAAGUCUGAAUAGGGCGAAAGUCAGUGGAGGCAGACGCGAACCUUGGUGAUCUACCCAUGGUCAGGUUGAAGCUGUGGUAACACAUAGUGGAGGACCGAACUAGUUCACGUUGAAAAGUGUUUAGAUGAACUGUGGGUAGGGGUGAAAGGCCAAUCAAACUGAGAGAUAGCUCGUACUCCCCGAAAUGUUUUUAGGAACAGCCUCAGGUUAAGUGUACUAGAGGUAGAGCUACCGAUUGGGUAAGGGGGCUUCACCGCCUACCGAACCCAGACGAACUCCGAAUACUAGUAUAUGUUUCCUGGGAGUGAGGGCAUGGGUGCUAAGGUCCUUGUCCGAGAGGGAAAGAACCCAGACCAUCAGCUAAGGUCCCUAAAUGUGUUCUAAGUUGAUCUAAUGUGGUUUGAUUGCAUUGACAGCUAGGAUGUUGGCUUGGAAGCAGCCAUUCAUUUAAAGAGUGCGUAACAGCUCACUAGUCGAGCGAUCAUGCAUAAAUAAUAAUCGGGCAUUAAGAAUACUACCGAAGCUAUGGAUUUAUGGUAGGGGAGCAUUCCAAUUUCAGUGAAGGCAGAUUGUAAAGUCUGUUGGAGAAUUUGGAAAAGAAAAUGUAGGCAUAAGUAACGAUUAAGCGGGUGAGAAACCCGCUCGCCGUAUGACUAAGGUUUCCUGAUCAACGCUAAUCGGAUCAGGGUUAGUCGGGUCCUAAGGUGUACCGAUUCAGGGAAGCCGAUGGAAAACAGGUUAAUAUUCCUGUACCAGUUGAAGGGGACGGAGAAUUGUAGCAGCUACGGGGUGACGGAAGUCCCCGUUGAGCUUAGCCUUCGGGCGAAGCGAAGUUGUGAAUUUUCUUCCAAGAAAAGCCUCAACAAUAGCCCGUACCGCAAACCGACACAGGUAGUCGAGGAGAAUAUCCUAAGGCGCUCGAGUGAGUCGUGGUUAAGGAACUCGGCAAAUUAACCCUGUAACUUCGGGAUAAGGGGUCCCCACUUCGGUGGGGCGCAGAGAAAUGGCCCAGGCGACUGUUUAUCAAAAACACAUGGCUUUGCAAAAUCGAAAGAUGAUGUAUAAGGCCUGACACCUGCCCGGUGCCGGAAGGUUAAGGAAGGUUGUUAGCUUCGGCGAAGCAAUUGACUGAAGCCCCGGUAAACGGCGGCCGUAACUAUAACGGUCCUAAGGUAGCGAAAUUCCUUGUCGGGUAAGUUCCGACCUGCACGAAUGGUGUAACGAUCUGGGCACUGUCUCGACCACGAGCUCGGUGAAAUUGUAGUAUCGGUGAAGAUGCCGGUUACCCGCAAUGGGACGAAAAGACCCCGUGAACCUUCACUACAGCUUCACAUUGAUUUUGACUAUAUAAUGUGUAGGAUAGGUGGGAGACUUUGAUCUUCUGGCGCUAGUCAGGGGGGAGUCGUUGGUGAAAUACCACCCUUUAUCUAGUUGGAAUCUAACCCGAUUACGGGAACAGUGUGUGGUGGGUAGUUUGACUGGGGUGGUCGCCUCCAAAAAAGUAACGGAGGCUUUCAAAGGUACCCUCAGUACGGUUGGUAAUCGUACGUAGAGUGUAAUGGCACAAGGGUGCUUGACUGAGAGACUGACAAGUCGAUCAGGGUCGAAAGACGGACAUAGUGAUCCGGUGGUUCUGUAUGGAAGGGCCAUCGCUCAAAGGAUAAAAGGUACUCCGGGGAUAACAGGCUGAUCGCGCCCAAGAGCUCAUAUCGACGGCGCGGUUUGGCACCUCGAUGUCGGCUCGUCACAUCCUGGGGCUGGAGAAGGUCCCAAGGGUUGGGCUGUUCGCCCAUUAAAGUGGCACGCGAGCUGGGUUCAGAACGUCGUGAGACAGUUCGGUCU
Molecule: ribosomal RNA, 2492 nt
Filed under: Bacteroidetes bacterium MED-G17
Lineage: Bacteria; Pseudomonadati; Bacteroidota
Description: bacterial LSU rRNA
Rfam family: Bacterial large subunit ribosomal RNA
Source: RNAcentral